This 459-nucleotide ribosomal RNA is filed under the name uncultured bacterium. RNAcentral describes it as "partial 16S ribosomal RNA". It matches the Rfam family "Bacterial small subunit ribosomal RNA", at positions 338 to 795 of the family's 1533-position model. The record is from RNAcentral.
CCUACGGGUGGCAGCAGUGAGGAAUAUUGGUCAAUGGUCGGGAGACUGAACCAGCCAAGCCGCGUGAGGGAUGAAGGUACAGAGUAUCGUAAACCUCUUUUGUCAGGGAACAAAGGCGGGGACGUGUCCCCGGAUGAGUGUACCUGAAGAAAAAGCAUCGGCUACCUCCGUGCCAGCAGCCGCGGUAAUACGGGGGAUGCGAGCGUUAUCCGGAUUUAUUGGGUUAAAGGGGUGCGCAGGCGGUCUGUUAAGUCAGCGGUAAAAGCCCGGGGCUCAACCCCGGCCCGCCGUUGAAACUGGCAGUCUCGAGUGGGAGAGAAGUAUGCGGAAUGCGCGGUGUAGCGGUGAAAUGCAUAGAUAUCGCGCAGAACUCCGAUUGCGAAGGCAGCAUGCCGGCUCCACACUGACGCUGAGGCACGAAAGCGUGGGUAGCGAACAGGAUUAGAUACCCGAGUAGUC